RNAcentral lists this non-coding RNA (24 nucleotides) under Arabidopsis thaliana (thale cress). Lineage: Eukaryota; Viridiplantae; Streptophyta; Magnoliopsida; Brassicales; Brassicaceae. The record is from RNAcentral.
AGAAUAACUAACAAUCCUAACCGG